RNAcentral lists this unclassified non-coding RNA (511 nucleotides) under Hevea brasiliensis (rubber tree). The record is from RNAcentral. Lineage: Eukaryota; Viridiplantae; Streptophyta; Magnoliopsida; Malpighiales; Euphorbiaceae.
AGCCCCAGGCGUCCGCCGCAUAAUCGAAGGUACCCGUGUCUAUGAGCGACCAGUUCAAGAAGUCCUUGCGCGGGUCGUGCGCGUAUUUGUUGGUGUCGAAGACGUCGGCCACGGCGAACUUUCCGACCGUCAGGACGAUCCGAUCGUUCGUCUGGGUGCCGGCGAACUGAUUGAUGUCGCCGUCGACCUUCUUCGUUUCGCCGCCGAGGUCGAACGUCUGGCGGAAGAAGGCCCGCGAAAUCCGGGCGUAGGGACUGGCAGAGCCGACCUUGUAGGCUGCACCGCUCGGAAACCCCGCGACCCCGAGCGUCGAGCUCAAGCCGAACCCCUGGUCGAUCUCCGGAUUGAUCCAGAAUUCUCCGCCCUUCCAAGGCCGGAUGCCGGCAUAGAAGGUGACGUCCCAGGUCUCGCGGGUUUGGUUGGGGAUGAGGCUGUUCGUGCCGCGGUACGGUGCGCGAAAUGGCGCCGCGUACUGCUGCAGGUAGGUGGUCUGAGUCCGCAGAUUGAACCA